Podarcis lilfordi (Lilford's wall lizard) is the source of this 78-nucleotide non-coding RNA. NCBI's taxonomy places the organism in Eukaryota, Metazoa, Chordata, Lepidosauria, Squamata, Lacertidae. The record is from the annotation of a GenBank genome assembly.
GGCUGUGGUUCAGCAGUAGAGCACCUGCUUUGAAUGCAGAAGGUUCCAGGUUCAGUCUGGGAUAUCCUGGUAGGGCUG